CAAUUCAUUAUUUAUUGGCAUAUUCAGGAUUCCAAGAGAGACUGGGUUUGGUUUUUCAACCCGAUCCAUGUAUGUAAUGGAAUAGAGUACCUUAUUCUUUUUAUCGGGAGCACAUACACAAAUGGAAUUCCUUUCUUGUACAAUAAAAAAUGAAUUUCACUCAAUUACAUUACCCUUAGAGAAUACUUUUCCAGAUUCCACUUUUUCCUUUUCUGGCUCCGAUUUUGUGU
This 230-nucleotide long non-coding RNA is filed under the name Solanum tuberosum (potato). RNAcentral describes it as "long non-coding RNA (STUB_LNC001685)". The record is from RNAcentral. Lineage: Eukaryota; Viridiplantae; Streptophyta; Magnoliopsida; Solanales; Solanaceae.